Molecule: ribosomal RNA, 394 nt
Filed under: Trachylepis gravenhorstii (Gravenhorst's mabuya)
Lineage: Eukaryota; Metazoa; Chordata; Lepidosauria; Squamata; Scincidae
Description: partial 16S ribosomal RNA
Rfam family: Bacterial large subunit ribosomal RNA
Source: RNAcentral
UAAAUGAGGACAAACCUGUCUCUUAUAACCAAUCAGUGAAACUGAUCUCCCAAUACAAAAGUUGGGAUAAACACAUAAGACGAGAAGACCCCGUGGAGCUUAAAACAAAUCACUAACCAAACGACCAUGGUGCACUGUUUUAAGUUGGGGCGACUUCGGAAUAAAACAAAACUUCCGAGCACAGAACCACCACUUCUAACCAAGGCCAACAAGCCUAAGUUUAACCUGACCCGGCCUCACGCCGAUCAACGAACCAAGUUACCCCGGGGAUAACAGCGCUAUCUUCUUCAAGAGUCCCUAUCAACAAGAAGGUUUACGACCUCGAUGUUGGAUCAGGACACCCAAAUGGUGCAGCCGCUAUUAAUGGUUCGUUUGUUCAACGAUUAACAGUCCU